RNAcentral lists this ribosomal RNA (470 nucleotides) under uncultured bacterium. RNAcentral's name for it is "bacterial SSU rRNA". It matches the Rfam family "Bacterial small subunit ribosomal RNA", at positions 28 to 507 of the family's 1533-position model. The record is from RNAcentral.
GACGAACGCUGGCGGCGCGCUUAACACAUGCAAGUCGUGCGGUACCGAUGGCAAGUCUUCUUGACGAGCCUUCGGUAUAGCGGCGGACGGGUGAGUAACACGUGAGUAGCUGUCCGUAGGGAGGGGGAUAACGCCUGGAAACGGGUGACUAAAACCCAUAAGCCUCGAAAGAGGUAAAAGUGCAUCACUGCAGUCCUAGGGUGUAAGCUCGCGGCCUAUCAGCUAGUUGGUGAGGUAAGGGCUCACCAAGGCCAAGACGGGUAGCCGGCCUGAGAGGGUGUACGGCCACACUGGAAUUGAGAUACGGUCCAGACUCCUACGGGAGGCAGCAGUGGGGAAUUUUGGGCAAUGGGCGAAAGCCUGACCCAGCGACGCCGCGUUGGGGAUGAAGUCCUUCGGGGCGUAAACCCAUGUUGUAGGGGAAGAAGAAAGUGACGGUACCCUACGAGAAAGCCCCGGCCAACUACGUG